Molecule: ribosomal RNA, 254 nt
Filed under: uncultured bacterium
Lineage: Bacteria
Description: partial 16S ribosomal RNA
Rfam family: Bacterial small subunit ribosomal RNA
Source: RNAcentral
UACGUAGGGGGCAAGCGUUGUCCGGAUUUAUUGGGCGUAAAGAGCGUGUAGGCGGCCUGAAAGGUCAGCUGUGAAAACUCGAGGCUCAACCUCGAGACGUCGGUUGAAACCAUCUGGCUAGAGUCCGGAAGAGGAGUGUGGAAUUCCCGGUGUAGCGGUGAAAUGCGCAGAUAUCAGGAAGAACACCCGUGGCGAAGGCGGCGUCUCUGGGACGGUACUGACGCUGAGACGCGAAAGCGUGGGGAGCGAACAGG